GAUGAACGCUGGCGGCGUGCCUAAUACAUGCAAGUCGAGCGAACAGACGAGGAGCUUGCUCCUCUGACGUUAGCGGCGGAGGGGUGAGUAACACGUGAAUAACCUACCUAUAAGACUGGGAUAACUUCGAGAAACCGGAUCUAAUACCGGAUAAUAUCUUGAACCGCGUGGUGGAAUAGUAAAAGACGGUGUUGCUGGCACUUAUAGAUGGAUCCGCGCCGCAUUAGCUAGUUGGUAAGGUAACGGCUUUCCAAGGGGACGAUGCGUAGCCGACCUGAGAGGGGGAUCGGCCACCCUGGAACGGAGACACGGUCCAGACUACUAAGGGAGGCAGCAGUAGGGAACCUUACGCAAUGGGCGAAAGCAUGACGGAGCAACGCCGCGUGAGUGAUGAAGGUCUUCGGAUCGUAAAGCUCUGUUAUUAGGGAAGAACAAAUGUGUAAGUAGCUAUGCACGUCUUGACGGUAACGAAUCAGAAAGCAACGGCUAACUACGUG
RNAcentral lists this ribosomal RNA (497 nucleotides) under uncultured bacterium. Its description in RNAcentral is "partial 16S ribosomal RNA". It matches the Rfam family "Bacterial small subunit ribosomal RNA", at positions 28 to 507 of the family's 1533-position model. The record is from RNAcentral.